AGAUUGAACGCUGGCGGCAUGCCUUACACAUGCAAGUCGAACGGCAGCACGGGAGCAAUCCUGGUGGCGAGUGGCGAACGGGUGAGUAAUACAUCGGAACGUGCCCAAUCGUGGGGGAUAACGCAGCGAAAGCUGUGCUAAUACCGCAUAAGAUCUACGGAUGAAAGCAGGGGAUCGCAAGACCUUGCGCGAAUGGAGCGGCCGAUGGCAGAUUAGGUAGUUGGUGAGGUAAAGGCUCACCAAGCCUUCGAUCUGUAGCUGGUCUGAGAGGACGACCAGCCACACUGGGACUGAGACACGGCCCAGACUCCUACGGGAGGCAGCAGUGGGAAUUUUGGACAAGUGGGCGAAAGCCUGAUCCAGCCAUGCCGCGUGCAGGAUGGAACGGCCGUUCGGGUUGUAAACGUGUCGUUUAGUAACGGUAACGAAAAGUCUUACUUUACUAAGUAAGAGGA
This 455-nucleotide ribosomal RNA is filed under the name uncultured soil bacterium. Its description in RNAcentral is "bacterial SSU rRNA". It matches the Rfam family "Bacterial small subunit ribosomal RNA", at positions 26 to 491 of the family's 1533-position model. The record is from RNAcentral.